RNAcentral lists this non-coding RNA (26 nucleotides) under Homo sapiens (human). Lineage: Eukaryota; Metazoa; Chordata; Mammalia; Primates; Hominidae. The record is from RNAcentral.
UCAGGUCUCAAGGUCUCAUCCAACAC